RNAcentral lists this ribosomal RNA (496 nucleotides) under uncultured bacterium. RNAcentral's name for it is "partial 16S ribosomal RNA". It matches the Rfam family "Bacterial small subunit ribosomal RNA", at positions 29 to 507 of the family's 1533-position model. The record is from RNAcentral.
AUGAACGCUGGCGGCGUGCCUAAUACAUGCCAGUCGAGCGAACAGAUGAGGAGCUUGCUCCUCUGACGUUAGCGGCGGACGGGUGAGUAACACGUGGAUAACCUACCUAUAAGACUGGGAUAACUUCGGGAAACCGGAGCUAAUACCGGAUAAUAUAUUGAACCGCAUGGUUCAAUAGUGAAAGACGGUUUUGCUGUCACUUAUAGAUGGAUCCGCGCCGCAUUAGCUAGUUGGUAAGGUAACGGCUUACCAAGGCAACGAUGCGUAGCCGACCUGAGAGGGUGAUCGGCCACACUGGAACUGAGACACGGUCCAGACUCCUACGGGAGGCAGCAGUAGGGAAUCUUCCGCAAUGGGCGAAAGCCUGACGGAGCAACGCCGCGUGAGUGAUGAAGGUCUUCGGAUCGUAAAACUCUGUUAUUAGGGAAGAACAAAUGUGUAUGUAACUAUGCACGUCUUGACGGUACCUAAUCAGAAAGCCACGGCUAACUACGUG